UCAAGACGAAGAUGAAUCAGA
This 21-nucleotide non-coding RNA is filed under the name Caenorhabditis elegans. The record is from RNAcentral. Lineage: Eukaryota; Metazoa; Nematoda; Chromadorea; Rhabditida; Rhabditidae.